UUCCACUAGUCCACGCUGGCAUGGGAGAGUGAGUAGACAUUAGAUACACGGAGAGAUGGUGUUUGAAGGGCGCGUGUGUGCAGCUGCCUUAUUUAACCUCGAUUUUCUCUCAAGACGGUGACACGUGCCAGUGGAAGCUUAAUGGCUGCCGGCAGGUGCUCGUGAGGGCCAGAAACACUUAUAAUAUUGACAAGCGACCCACCAGCUGCUUGGCCAGCUGGCGGACUGGUCACAGACGCCAUGGUGCAAUAGGAGACUACCCGAUCCCGUGCCUCCCGCCCUGCCCCACCCAGACACCAUGGCCCGGCAGCGACACCAUUCCACCUGCUACAUGAUGCUGGCUGACGCACUCCUGACGUGGCAGCGACAGGAGGCGGAGGGCAGGAGCAAGAGUCGGGUGGUGAAGGAAGGCGUGACGGAAGAGGUGGUGGCUGUGGAGGGUGUUCGUGCAGGGUAUCUCGGCAGGGUCUAAGUUAGAGCAAAUGGAUGAUGAGAGACUAGUAAGAAGGAUGUUUGUGUGGAAUAUUAGGAGUAGCAGUUGGGGGAAGAAGUGUGUUAGGAUGGUAGUAAAGAGUGGCUUGGAAACUAGUUGGGCUUUUGAGUGGUUGAGUGAAGGCUUGUUGAGAGUGACUGAAGUAUGAGUGUCAGAAAUGGAGAGGGUUUAGAAUGUUAUGUAAGUAAGUGGAGAAGUGAGGUAGACACAGCGAUGAAGCACAUGGGAUUGAGUGAGUCACGUGUGGAAAAUUGUGGGAUGGAGCGAGCCAGGUGUGGAAAAGUGUGGAAAUUGUGUUGAAAAAGUGUAGAAAUUGUGGGAUUGAGUGAGCCAGGUAUGGAAAUUGUGUAGAAAAGUGGAAAAAGUGUGGAAAAAGUGUGGGAAUUGUGUUGAAAAAGUGUGAACAUUGUGGGAUUGAGUGAGCCAGGUGUGGAGGAGUGACAGACAGACAGAGCCAUGAAGCAUGUGGGGUUGAGUGAGCCAGGUGUGGAGGAGUGACAGACAGACAGAGCGAUGAAGCACGUGGGGUUGAGUGAGCCAGAUGUGUCACUUGGGGACGACUGUGAGCCAACCCAGGACCAACGGCUGAUGACGCUCAAUGAUGGAAUUAGAAGCUGCAUGAAUUGUUUAUGUAGAUUUUAGAAGCUGUCUGAAUUGUUUAUGUAAAUCUGAAGCACUUACUUUGAAUUGAAGGCUUGGACCAUGUAAUAUCUUUGUAAUUCUUCUGUACCAUUGUCAUAAGUUCCUUAGAUAACUCACUACAGUUUUGUCUCUAUCUAAUAAUAUGUACAUUUACUCAAACUGCAUUUUCUUUCAGUGUGCAGGUUUGCAGUAAACCUCCCUGAAGGUUCCAGAGCUGCUCAGCAAGUGUCCAGCCCAGCCUGUCACAAGACUAUGUGACAGUGGACCUUCCACUCAUACUGAAAACAGCUGUGCACUGCCACUCACAGGAAGUGGUGACCACUCUAGAUUGAGUUGCCUUGAAGCUGAGAUGAGUUGGUCAGCUAGUGAGUGGCUUCAAUAAAGUGACUGUGAGGUGUUGGCUUCAAUAAAGUGACUGUGAGGUGUUGCCUUCAAUCAAGUGACUGUGAGGUGUUGGCUUCGAUCAAGUGACUGUGAGGUGUUGGCUUCGAUCAAGUGACUGUGAGGUGUUGGCUUCGAUCAAGUGACUGUGAGGUGUUGGGCAUGGUAUUGUGUUAUUGCAAGUGUAACCAUUAAUAAGUAAGUUCUUUCCUUAUAACUCUUCAUACAUGGAUUGCCAUACAUGGACGGAUAAGGCCCUUGUACAGAGUCAUCAGCUGGGGGUGAGAAAAACUGGUGGAGACGUCUCAGAACGCCUAACUUCACAGAAGCUGUUUUAGCUAGAGAUGAAAUGUGAAGUUUCUAGUUUAGAUCAUAAGUAAAGGACAGACCAAGGAUGUUCAGUGUAGAAGAGGGGGACAGUUGAGUGUCAUUGAAGAAGAGGGGAUAGUUUGGAAGACUGUGUUGAGUUGAUAGAUGGAGGAAUUGAGUUUUUGAUGCACUGAACAAUACCAAGUUUGCUCUGCCCCAAUCAGAAAUUUUAGAGAGAUGAGAAGUGAGGCGUUCUGUGGCUUCCCUGUGUGAACUGUUUACUUCCUGAAGGGUUGGAUGUCUAUGAAAAGACAUGGAAAAGUGCAGGGUGAUGUCAUCAGCGUAGGAGUGGAUAGGACAAGAAGUAUGGGUUAGAAGAUCAUUAAUGAAUAAUAAGAGAGUGGGUGACAGGACAGAACCCUGAGGAACACCACUGUUAAUAGAUUUAGCAGAAGAACAGUGACCGUCUACCACAGCAGCAAUAGAAUGGUCAGAAAGGAAACUUGAGAUGAAGUUACAGAGAGAAGGAUAGAAACUGUAGGAGGGUAGUUUGGAAAUCAAAGCUUUGUGCCAGACUCUAUCAAAGGCUUUUGAUAUGUCCAAGGCAACAGCAAAAGUUUCACCAAAAUCUCUAAAAGAGGAUGACCAAGACUCAGUAAGGAAAGCCAGAAGAUCACCAGUAGAGCGGCCUUGACGGAAUCCAUACUGGUGAUCAGAUAGAAGGUUGUGAAGUGAUAGAUGUUUAACAAUCUUCCUGUUGAGGAUAGAUUCAAAAACUUUAGAUAGGCAGGAAAUUAAAGCAAUAGGACUGUUGUUUGAGGGAUUAAAACUACUACUACUACUACUACUACUACUACUACUACUACUACUACUACUACUACUACUACUACUACUACUACUACUACUACUACUACUACUCACAUCUUGCCUGACUGCCAGACCAACAUUUACUGUGUAGAAAUGGCACAGUCUACUCCUUUAGUUCUUUUCCUUUCUAGAAUGUGCAUAUCAGUGUACCCUGUCGUGCCUCCCAUGCUGUGUAAUGCUGCAGUGUUGAUUGUGUGUGUGUGUUUCCCUCAGGUGGUACUGUGGAUAGCAAGCGGAAGAGACCUUGGGAGACUUCCGUUAAUGAGGAGCAACAAGCACACCUCACUGGAGUCUCAGGAACCAACAGUCAGGGCCUGAUGUGAAGGUGUCUGCAGCCAGUGUUUGGUGUCCUCUGUGCCUGCCUGGUGGUGCCUCAUUGCAGGGCUGAUGUGAAGGUGUCUGCAGCCAGUGGUGGUGCCUCAUUGCAGGGCCUGAUGUGAAGGUGUCUGCAGCCAGUGGUGGUGCCUCAUUGCAGGGCCUGAUGUGAAGGUGUCUGCAGCCAGUGGUGGUGCCUCAUUGCAGGGCCUGAUGUGAAGGUGUCUGCAGCCAGUGGUGGUGCCUCAUUGCAGGGCCUGAUGUGAAGGUGUCUGCAGCCAGUGGUGGUGCCUCAUUGCAGGGCUGAUGUGAAGGUGUCUGCAGCCAGUGGUGGUGCCUCAUUGCAGGGCCUGAUGUGAAGGUGUCUGCAGCCAGUGGUGGUGCCUCAUUGCAGGGCCUGAUGUGAAGGUGUCUGCAGCCAGUGGUGGUGCCUCAUUGCAGGGCCUGAUGUGAAGGUGUCUGCAGCCAGUGGUGGUGCCUCAUUGCAGGGCCUGAUGUGAAGGUGUCUGCAGCCAGUGGUGGUGCCUCAUUGCAGGGCCUGAUGUGAAGGUGUCUGCAGCCAGUGGUGGUGCCUCAUUGCAGGGCUGAUGUGAAGGUGUCUGCAGCCAGUGGUGGUGCCUCAUUGCAGGGCCGAUGUGAAGGUGUCUGCAGCCAGUGGUGGUGCCUCAUUGCAGGGCCUGAUGUGAAGGUGUCUGCAGCCAGUGGUGGUGCCUCAUUGCAGGGCUGAUGUGAAGGUGUCUGCAGCCAGUGUUGGGUGUCCUCUGUGCCUGGUGGUGCCUCAUUGCAGGGCUGAUGUGAAGGUGUCUGCAGCCAGUGGUGGUGCCUCAUUGCAGGGCUGAUGUGAAGGUGUCUGCAGCCAGUGGUGGGUGUCCUCUGUGCCUGGUGGUGCCUCAUUGCAGGGCUGAUGUGAAGGUGUCUGCAGCCAGUGGUGGGUGUCCUCUCUUCCUGGUGGUGCAGCCUGAUGUGUUGCCUGCUUCAGUGUAAAUCUUGCAAGCCAGAUCUUCCAGCUGUCUCCAGUGUAGUAGUCUAGGGUGCUUUGCUUUGUGUCUUUGGCAAUAAAUAAAAUUGUGAGUAUCAUUCUCAUGUGAAUUAUAUAGUUUGAUAAAAUUACAGAAUGUGCUUGGGUAAACUAAAUUUAUAUAUUGGUGGUAAACAAUUCAUGCAUCCCCAAGUAAAUAAAUAAAAAAAUAAAUAGGACCCAAAACAA
This is a long non-coding RNA of Scylla paramamosain (green mud crab), 4214 nucleotides long. RefSeq lists it as uncharacterized. NCBI's taxonomy places the organism in Eukaryota, Metazoa, Arthropoda, Malacostraca, Decapoda, Portunidae. The transcript has 4 exons. The record is from RefSeq and is a predicted model, not a curated record.